AGACAUUUAUCGGUUUCAUCUUAGUACAUCUAGUCCAAAAGCAUGAUAUGUUCUUUAAAUAAGAGCAAUUUUUUUUUAUUUAAUUUCAGGCUCGGCGCCCGUCACGAAGGAGACAACCGUCAAGAUCGAAUCAAAUGAGCCAAGAACGACCGUUGAUGUCGUUGAUGCAGCAACAGCGAGAAAACGAGUCGAGCCGGCGUUACCGCGGCGUCGGAAAAACCCGGAACUGGCUUAUAAACACGACACAUCGCUUCAUUUCGACGAUGAACGAGGAACGGGACAAAGUCCCCAACGAUAUCUCCGCCAUCACUUCCGAACGAGCACGAAAACACGAACGUACAAAUGGCCCUGCUUCAGCAGCGUUCAGGAACGCAGUAGCGAAGAUCAGCACAGAGUACAGACUGCAGUUUGCCUGGCCGAGAGAGGGCGAGGAACAUUUGUCCAAUGGGAAGCCGCCGGCUGGCAUGGUCGUCCCCGAACCAGGACUCGGCCCCCCGCGAAAAUCCAUCUCCAUGGGAACCAUCAAGGCCAACCAAUCAAACAUAGCGCCCGUUCAUAGGAAAAAGAACGCCGAAGUCGAUAGGAAAGACGGACAAUCAGAAGCAGAACCACCAGUGACUGAAAGUAAAAAUGAAGAUUUAAGGGAAUACAAAACUGAGUACAAGAAAAAGUUUCGUCCGUUCUCUCAUUAUGAUUACGUUGGAGGUCGUUUCCUUCAAAAGGAAGCAUCUGAUGAAAAACAAACUGAAGUUAGCAUUCCCACUGACUCAACAUGGUACAAGGAGGUUUUAGAGUUAAGACAGAAAGCAGAUGAAUACAAGCACCGAGGAUGGGGCGUGGAGUUAUUGAAUGAAUCAGAAACAGAUAGCAGGCACCUAUGGGAGCAAGUACAGUGUCGCAGCUCUCUCUUAGCCUUGUCAUUAGCAUCAACGACUCCAAGAUCUGGUGUAAAAGAAGAGAAAGCUCCCAAAAAAGUUUGGCCCACAAGAACGGCAUGGUCAAGAACAACCACACCACAUCAACGUGAUAGAUCUGUUACCCAUAAUAAGGAGGAAAGGAGUCAAUCCAGAGUGCGAGGAACUAGGGAUAAUGCUGCCAAAUUACAUAUUCGCUCAGCAGCAGGUCGCUCAAAAUCUGUCGAUCCAGGUAUUAGUGAACAAAAUCUCCAAGGAAAACACCUCGUUCCCCAGUACCACAAGCAAAUGCCAAACAUGCGAAACCUCAUACAGAAGCCAAACGUCCAAGUAAGUUUAUCACUUCUCCGCCACUGUUAA
This 1274-nucleotide long non-coding RNA is filed under the name Bemisia tabaci. RNAcentral's name for it is "lncRNA ENSSSA3NGG003129". The record is from RNAcentral. Lineage: Eukaryota; Metazoa; Arthropoda; Insecta; Hemiptera; Aleyrodidae.